UGGGGAAUUUUGCACAAUGGGGGAAACCCUGAUGCAGCGACGCCGCGUGAUUUAGAAGGCCUUCGGGUUGUAAAAAUCUUUUCUAUGGGAAGAAAAUGACAGUACCAUAGGAAUAAGGACCGGCUAAUUACGUGCCAGCAGCCGCGGUAAUACGUAGGUCCCGAGCGUUGUCCGGAUUUAUUGGGCGUAAAGCGAGCGCAGGCGGUUAGAAAAGUCUGAAGUGAAAGGCAGUGGCUCAACCAUUGUAGGCUUUGGAAACUGUUUAACUUGAGUGCAGAAGGGGAGAGUGGAAUUCCAUGUGUAGCGGUGAAAUGCGUAGAUAUAUGGAGGAACACCGGUGGCGAAAGCGGCUCUCUGGUCUGUAACUGACGCUGAGGCUCGAAAGCGUGGGGAGCGAACAGG
Molecule: ribosomal RNA, 402 nt
Filed under: Bacteroidota bacterium
Lineage: Bacteria; Pseudomonadati; Bacteroidota
Description: Bacteroidetes bacterium partial 16S ribosomal RNA
Rfam family: Bacterial small subunit ribosomal RNA
Source: RNAcentral